ACAGCCUACAAAUGUCCUUGAAGGCCAGCUUCUCUAUUUGAUCUUUGUUUAUUUCUCAACCAGAUGUGACCUCUUCUAGGAUAAGAUGUUCUGUUGUGCUACCAAGAUCCUUCUUCAAGACCGACUGAUUCCACCAGCUACUGGGAAUCCUGCAGGUCCUGUCCUUUUACUGGAGGCAGCCAUCAUCCAACAACUUUUCAGUGUGACAGUAUAAAGACUCAGCUCCCUUACCUUGAGAAAUCUCUGAAGGAUCUUCCCCACUACAGAGCUCCAUCUGUGUCCUGAGGAUUGUAGUGAAUGCAUCGCUGUCUCGUGUCUCCCUCUACCCAAUCCUACUGUCCUCAUUUCCUUAAAGAUCGCAACCCUCAGUGUCGCGCCCGUACUGGACCGGG
Molecule: long non-coding RNA, 392 nt
Organism: Galeopterus variegatus (Sunda flying lemur)
Lineage: Eukaryota; Metazoa; Chordata; Mammalia; Dermoptera; Cynocephalidae
Exons: 3
Source: RefSeq, a predicted model, not a curated record